ACACAUUCAUACGAUGGAGGAAGCCCAGUAUUGCCACCCACCUUCUCCACAGUGUUCAGGGCAGCAGCGAGGCUGACGUUGUUCUUGCCGUCUCGUGAUGGCCUCUCAUUGGCUGUUACAUACUGUAGACCAUAUUUGAGCCUGAGGGCGGAGCUCCACAGCGAGCCCUUCUGCUCCAUCAGUCCCAGCAUCCUGGCGCCGACCACACCGGGUAACAGCAGCUCCGCCUCCACAGAGUACUGCCUGCUGUUGCCAUCCCGCCUGC
This is a long non-coding RNA of Acanthopagrus latus (yellowfin seabream), 265 nucleotides long. RefSeq lists it as uncharacterized. NCBI's taxonomy places the organism in Eukaryota, Metazoa, Chordata, Actinopteri, Spariformes, Sparidae. The transcript has 3 exons. The record is from RefSeq and is a predicted model, not a curated record.